AAUAUCCUUUUUCGAUUGGGUAUGGCUUCAACCAUUCCUAGGGUCCGCCAACUAGUCAGACAUAGACAUAUUUUAGUUAACAGUUGUAUAAUCAACAUACCAAGUUUUAAUUGCAAACCCUGAGAUAUAAUUACUAUGAAAGAUAACCAAAUAUCAAAAGGUUCGGUUCAAUAUUAUAUUGCUUCAUCGGACCCGGGGAAAUUGCCAAAGCAUUUGACGAUUGACACAUUGGAAUAUAAAGGACUAGUAAAUAAAAUCCUAGAUAGGAAGUGGGUUGGUCUCAAAAUAAAUGAGUUGUUAGUUGUAGAAUAUUACUCUCGUCAGACUUGA
Molecule: ribosomal RNA, 330 nt
Filed under: Triticum aestivum (bread wheat)
Lineage: Eukaryota; Viridiplantae; Streptophyta; Magnoliopsida; Poales; Poaceae
Description: partial small subunit ribosomal RNA
Source: RNAcentral